AAGUCGGAAGAGAGAGGGGGUGUGUCACUUUGUCUGACAGCUGACUACCCUUGGGACGUUACUUUUCGCCUUUCAUUGUAUACAUUUUUGGUACACAAUGCCUGCAAAGAAGAAACAGUUUGCCUAUAACAUUAGCAGGAAGAGGAGAAGGAACAUAGAAGCAAUGAUAAGGGCUAAACAAGCAAAGAGAGCACAGCUGCUGUGGGUGGUGACGCCGCCACGAUGCUAGUACCACCACCCUCCUCUCAAGACCUGUCCUUGUUCACUGCUACUGAACUAUUGGAUAUUUCAUGUUCAGAAACAAGGAAGACAAAAUAUAGGAGCAUCACCUUUGCCCAACAGGUGAUAAAUCCUGGUGUUUCUACCAGAAAGCAGCAGCAGCAGACCUUCCUCCACCGUCUCACACCAAGAUGAAAGUGCACUUCCAACUUGAACCUGCAUACAUGGAGGUGCAUAAUGUCUACAAAGACCUAACAUCAGAUGAAAUGAUGCAGCGUUGUAUAAAAGGCAGAACGCAAAACUCUAAUGAAAGUCUGCAUCACCGCAUAUGGUCUUACAGCAAUAAAGCCAAAUAUCAAACUAAGAGGCAUGCUGAUUUCGCAGUCAGCCAUGCUGUUGCUGACUACAAUAGUGGAUAUGUGAGGAGCUGUCUGGACACAGCACUGGGCUACAGACGUUCAGCAGUGACUCAAGCACAACUUGAAUUAAUGGAGAAGCAGAUGAAGGAAAAACGGAACCGAGGUGGAAAGAAGAGGAAAAGGGAGGUGGACACGUCCUACGAGCCUGGAGGACAUUAGAUAAUCGUGUCCACCAAUAUCCAGUCAUAGAUUGAUUGGGAUGGAUUUUUAUGAUUGGCCGGCCACCAGAGAACUUCAGGAUAAAGGGAUCUUCAUGGAACUUCAGGAAUAAUGUCUAUAUAACCAGUUCUACUCUCAAUAAACGUAUAAAGGCA
Molecule: non-coding RNA, 952 nt
Organism: Cherax quadricarinatus
Lineage: Eukaryota; Metazoa; Arthropoda; Malacostraca; Decapoda; Parastacidae
Source: RefSeq, a predicted model, not a curated record